Non-coding RNA from Bos taurus (domestic cattle), 72 nucleotides. NCBI's taxonomy places the organism in Eukaryota, Metazoa, Chordata, Mammalia, Artiodactyla, Bovidae. The record is from Rfam.
UCCCUGGUGACUCAAAUGGUAAAGCAUCUACCUGCAAAGCAGGAGACCCGGGUUCGAUCCCUGGGUUGGGAA